RNAcentral lists this ribosomal RNA (158 nucleotides) under uncultured sulfate-reducing bacterium. RNAcentral describes it as "partial 16S ribosomal RNA". It matches the Rfam family "Bacterial small subunit ribosomal RNA", at positions 374 to 526 of the family's 1533-position model. The record is from RNAcentral.
GGCGAAGCUGAGCAGCAACGCCGCGUGAGUGAUGAAGGCCUUCGGGUCGUAAAGCCCUGUCAGGUGGGACGAACGGCCCGGGGGUUAAUACCCUUGGGGAGUGACGGUACCACCAAAGGAAGCACCGGCUAACUCCGUGCCAGCAGCCGCGGUAAUAA